GGGGGUAGCUCAGUGGUAGAGGGCAUGCUGAGAAUGCACUAGGUCCUGGGUUCAAUCCCCAGUACCUCCA
RNAcentral lists this transfer RNA (70 nucleotides) under Camelus bactrianus (Bactrian camel). It matches the Rfam family "tRNA". From Rfam's summary of the family: Transfer RNA (tRNA) molecules are approximately 80 nucleotides in length. RNAcentral also lists the same sequence under 2 other names. The record is from Rfam by way of RNAcentral. Lineage: Eukaryota; Metazoa; Chordata; Mammalia; Artiodactyla; Camelidae.